AUUCCAGACUCCUACGGGAGGCAGCAGUCGGGAAUAUUGCGCAAUGGAGGAAACUCUGACGCAGUGACGCCGCGUAUAGGAAGAAGGUUUUCGGAUUGUAAACUAUUGUCGUUAGGGAAGAUAAAAGACAGUACCUAAGGAGGAAGCUCCGGCUAACUCCGUGCCAGCAGCCGCGGUAAUACGGAGGAUGCGAGCGUUAUCCGGAUUUAUUGGGUUUAAAGGGUGCGCAGGCGGGCUGUUAAGCCGGCGGUAAAAAUUCAGGGCUCAACCCUGUCGAGCCGUCGGAACUGGCAGUCUUGAGUGGGCGAGAAGUAUGCGGAAUGCGUGGUGUAGCGGUGAAAUGCAUAGAUAUCACGCAGAACGCCGAUUGCGAAGGCAGCAUACCGGCGCCCAACUGACGCUGAGGCACGAAAGCGUGGGGAUCGAACAGGAUUAGAUACCCCAGUA
This 447-nucleotide ribosomal RNA is filed under the name uncultured bacterium. Its description in RNAcentral is "bacterial SSU rRNA". It matches the Rfam family "Bacterial small subunit ribosomal RNA", at positions 328 to 792 of the family's 1533-position model. The record is from RNAcentral.